GGAACGUGAUCAAACGAAUGUCACUCCUACCGUAUGCCAUGGCCUUUACAAUUUAUUUUUAAAUCGUGGCCUAUGUUGCAUCGCUAACCCCACAAGGAAGCCACGGCCAUAAAAAAAGGAAUAAUAGUAGUAGUAGUAGUGCAGUUUAUAUUUUUUAAAUGCACUUGUAAUGCGAUAACGAAGAGUUUACAGCGGUUUACGGAGAUUCUGUUUGCCGCCAGUUUGCUUAGGUUAUAUUUUUUAGCAGGUUAUAUUUUUUAGUUUGACAUCGAGUUACGAUAUGUCAAAGUCGAUAUGGGCUUUACUGUGCAUUCUUCAAACUUGUUUCGUGGGAAAUACGAUUGGUUCGAUAGGUGAUAAAUCGCAGAUAUAUCAUCAAUGUUUAACGCUGUGUCGCAAUAAUAACUGCAAAGAUGAUACAAGUUUUAAGCAACAGCCUUCCUUAUCGCUAAUUUUGCUGAAUUGGUCCUGCAAGGAAGAUUGCAGUUAUAUUUGUAUGUGGAGGACUGUUGAUUAUUUUGUAUCUCAGGGUUUGAAGAUACCACAAUUUCAUGGAAAAUGGCCAUUCAUUCGCCUGCUUGGAUGUCAAGAACCUGCUUCAGUUUUAUUUUCUAUAUUAAAUUUUUAUGCACAUUGGAUAAUGUAUCGGAAAUUUAGAAGAAAGAUAGAUCGAGCUAAUCCUAUGUUUUACACUUGGAUAUAUUUCAGUAUCAUAUGCCUAAAUGGAUGGUUUUGGUCAAUCAUAUUCCAUUCACGAGACAGGCCAUUUACAGAAGCUAUGGAUUAUUCAUGCGCAUUUAGUAUGGUACUUACACUUUUAUACUGCAUGCUCUUAAGGAUAAUGAAUAGAAAGAAUAAAGCAUUUAUUAUAAUAACUUGCGGAUAUGUAAGCAUUUUGUGCAUACACUUAUCGCAUUUGUGGUCAGGCAGAAUUAACUAUGGUUAUAAUAUGGUAUUUAAUGUAGCGAUAGGAUUGAUAACUGUCGCGAUAACGACAUUGUGGUGGUAUUUUAGCCGCGACAAGUUGCCUCACGUGUACUUACUUGCUUGGUUCAAUAUAUUGACCAUUUUUGUGACUACACUCGAAUUGGCAGAUUUUCCUCCUAUUUUUUGGAUAUUUGAUGCUCAUUCCUUGUGGCACGCUAGUACGGUUCCUUUAACGAUAUUAUUGUAUAGAUUUAUGAUUAUAGAUUGCUACUAUCUGAAAACAUAUCGCAAUAUGUCAUUUCUAGAUAUCGAUGAUGGUCAUAGGCAAUGAAAUUUUUUCGUAAUGCUAGUACAUAGCGCUAAUUUACAUACUUCUUGGAUGAAUAUUCGAGAUAAGGAUUAUCAUCUCUGUGCUUUUCGAGAUUUCCAGAUAAAGUUGGAUCCGGCCGUCGCCUUUUGAAGAAGCCUACUU
RNAcentral lists this unclassified non-coding RNA (1399 nucleotides) under Pogonomyrmex barbatus (red harvester ant). RNAcentral describes it as "post-GPI attachment to proteins factor 3, transcript variant X2". The record is from RNAcentral. Lineage: Eukaryota; Metazoa; Arthropoda; Insecta; Hymenoptera; Formicidae.